AGUGACCUAGUUUAACGGCCGCGGUACCCUAACCGCGCGAAGGUAGCAUAAUCACUUGUUCUUUAAAUGAGGACUCGUAUCAAUGGCACCACGAGGACUUUACUGUCUCCUUUUUCUAAUCAGUGAAACUAAUCUUCCCGUGAAGAAGCGGGAAUAAAUAGAUAAGACGAGAAGACCCCAUGGAGCUUUAAGCUUACUGCACCUCUAUUUUCUAUAACCUCUUAUUAAACGGAAUACUGCUUACUUAGCUUUAGGUUGGGGUGACCGCGGAGUAUAACAUAACCUCCAUGAUGAACAAAACUAUUUUCUUAUCUAAGAACAACAGUUCUAAGAAUUAGUAUUCUAACAUAAAAUGAUCCGAUAAUCGAUCAACGGACUAAGUUACCCUGGGGAUAACAGCGCAAUCCAUUUCAAGAGCCCCUAUCGACAAAUGGGUUUACGACCUCGAUGUUGGAUCAGGAUAUCCUAGUGGUGCAGCAGCUACUGAAGGUUCGUUUGUUCAACGAUUAAAAUCCU
RNAcentral lists this ribosomal RNA (516 nucleotides) under Gephyromantis enki. RNAcentral describes it as "partial 16S ribosomal RNA". It matches the Rfam family "Bacterial large subunit ribosomal RNA", at positions 1913 to 2597 of the family's 2925-position model. The record is from RNAcentral. Lineage: Eukaryota; Metazoa; Chordata; Amphibia; Anura; Mantellidae.